This 299-nucleotide long non-coding RNA is filed under the name Mytilus galloprovincialis (Mediterranean mussel). The record is from RNAcentral. Lineage: Eukaryota; Metazoa; Mollusca; Bivalvia; Mytilida; Mytilidae.
CGAGGGCCGAUAUGGGUCGAGGGAUGAUACCAGGGCCAAUAUGGAAAAGGCCAUGUUAUAAUAUAUUUAUCACAUAUCUAAGUUCUGCAAAAUAGAGACACAAAGUUCAAUUAUUACAAUUUAAUGAAACAUAACAGGUAAAAUUUUAAAUUUUGUAUCACAAAAGUGUCGUUAAAGACGCAAUGACGUGACGUCAUUUGGAAUCAGGGCACAAUAUCAAUAUCGUCUUUUUUGCCCCGGGCAAUUUUGAGGUUAUUGCAUAUGCAAAACCCAACAUAUUCGUAACAAAUGUGUGAUAA